ACGAGCGCAACCCCUAUCCCUAGUUGCUAGCAGUUCGGCUGAGAACUCUAGGGAGACUGCCGGUGACAAACCGGAGGAAGGUGGGGAUGACGUCAGGUCAUCAUGGCCCUUUACGGCCAGGGCUACACACGUGCUACAAUGGCGCGCACAGAGGGCUGCAAACCCGCGAGGGGGAGCCAAUCUCACAAAACGCGUCGUAGUCCGGAUCGCAGUCUGCAACUCGACUGCGUGAAGUCGGAAUCGCUAGUAAUCGUGAAUCAGAAUGUCACGGUGAAUACGUUCCCGGGCCUUGUACACACCGCCCGUCACACCAUGGGAGUGGAUUGCACCAGAAGUGGUUAGUCUAACCUUCGGGAGGACGAUCACCACGGUGUGGUUCAUGACUGGGGUGAAGUCGUAACAGGGUAGCCGUAGGGGAACCUGCGGCUGGAUCACCUCCUU
RNAcentral lists this ribosomal RNA (441 nucleotides) under uncultured bacterium. RNAcentral's name for it is "bacterial SSU rRNA". It matches the Rfam family "Bacterial small subunit ribosomal RNA", at positions 1092 to 1532 of the family's 1533-position model. The record is from RNAcentral.